Molecule: long non-coding RNA, 3449 nt
Filed under: Nicotiana benthamiana
Lineage: Eukaryota; Viridiplantae; Streptophyta; Magnoliopsida; Solanales; Solanaceae
Description: long non-coding RNA (NBEN_LNC020540)
Source: RNAcentral
CAGUCUAAUACUUGUAUCAAAACAUGCUACUUAAACCAAAGCCGUGAAAGAUUGAUAUGAACUUAUACAAAGGACUCAAAUGAAAUUCGUAGAAGAUGUACAUAUUUCCAACAAAACAGAUGAACAAAUUGAGUCAAUGAAUCUCACAAAAACCAUUUGGGCCUGAAUUUGUGCCUUAAAGGCAAAAGAGCAGCCCCAAAUGUGACUUUCAAAAUGUUGCUUCUGUUGGUACUUAUCCAAGCCUAAACCAAACAUUUUAAUCCUCAAAAUUACGACUAGAAACAAAUUAAUUUCAAGGACAACCAUUUUUGUGCCUUAAACUUACUAAAACACACCCUUGAGCGCAUUAAUUGCAGUCCAGCAUGUGAAACAUAAGUUUCGAUUCAAGGUCUAGACUGUCCCAAUGUUACAUAAUUCCCAACAUUGAAUGAAAAACUUUACAUAGAAGAAAUCGUUCGUUUACUGUUAAAACUCAUGCCGUUGUUUGAAAAAAAUAUGCAAAAUGAUAAACUAAUCUAAUACUAAGCUAUUAUUGACUUGUAUAUCAAUAGGAAGACCCUUGCUCCUUUUGAACAUGACUUGUCCAUAGCAGCGCCAUCUUCCUUCCUUAACGUGUAGAUCCUACCCUCAAGCUUUCAAAACCAAUUGAUCCAGCCAACUAGUGGCUGAACAAACAGGUUAAGGCUCAUUGCCAAGUAAGAAAAGAAAAGUUAAGUAAGAGAAUCAGAUGGAGAAGAAAACAAAUACUACCUAGAGGAACAUGGUCAAUAGUACUAGAGUAAUGAACUAAGUUGCUUCAACGCAAAAUGAGUAGGAAAAACAACAAGGUCUCCAUAAGUCUAACCACAUUAAGGGUCAGCCUUAUAGACAAUAAUGAUCCUUAAAACCAUGAUUUAUUUCAUGGUUCUCAUUUCAGUAGAUGAGAAAUAGGGGAGGCGAGAUGUACAAAAAAUUCAGAUUGAUAUGCACCUUUAAAGGGUGUAUUUGACGACUUGAAGGGUCAGAUUCAUUUCCCUGUUAUGUUGCCAUUGGAAGUAAACUUUGGCCAUAAGUUUCACAAAUGCUUACAUAUACUAAUUUAGCAGAUGUAUUAUUGCAUAUGAAUUUAACACAGCCUUACAGACUUCAUGGUUUCAACCCAAGAAAACAUUAAGUCCAGAAAACAGUCAUGAUUCCCAAUCCAAUCUACCAAAGAUCAGCUAAACAAACAAGUUUCAGAUGCAAAUUUUUAAACACAGAAACUGGUUUUAUUCAAAAGGAGCAUUGUACAUACCUUGAAAUUGAAAAUAUGACUAAAGAAUGACCAACUAAAGGUCAAGAAAACCAGAAUUGAAAUGAAACCCAAACUUCAACAGUAGAAUAACAAACCAGGAAUGACAAAACUAGAAAGCUAGCUUAGGGAUAAAAAUGAAUUAACCAAAAACCAGCUUCAAACCAGAAGAUUCACCUAGAGAACUAGGAAAAUUAUCCAUCCAAACCAUGUUUUUACUUGCACAGAAUCAGAAAAAUGAAAAAAGGGUUUUUGAGUUUUUCCAGAAUUUUCUUAAAAUCUGAAAUUUUUAGAGAAAGGAAUGUUUUGCAGUAAUUUUUUGAUGGGAAAAUCUGUGUGUGAGUGAGGGAAUGUUUUCCUUUUAUAGAGUGAACAGCCAAAGGCAUCAAAAGGAAUAUUCUGACUUAAAUAUUGAAAUUCCAGAAUAGUACAACAUCUUUUUGACAGCUGUAUGUCCUUUUUCUUAUUCAAUAUCAGCAUGUUGCUAAUGAUAGGGACAUCUGUGCUAAAUACUAGAACUUUAUGAUUUUUAGCUAAGUGAAAACCCCUUUUUACCCCUUAGGUUAUCACUUAUUUCAGUUUUACUUAGGUUAUUUUAAUUCAAAAGGGUCCUUGAAUUUCCUACUUGUUCAACUAAACCUUAAAAGUCUUGAAGAAUUAAAGAAAUCAGACAAAUUUCUAAUUGGGAAAAGAGGGCCAAUUGAAUCAAAAGGCAUCACAAUUCUUUAUUCGGAACGCAUAUUCAACCAAAUACUCAACAAUGAAAAACUAUUUCAAUAGUAAAGGAAAGAAGAAUCAAAUGAUAAUAAACUAACUAUAAGAAACUGAAACCCUAAAGGAUAUUAAACCUGAUCUAAUCCAUUUUUAUUGACUAGACGAAACAAGGGAAGAAGAAAGAAAACAAAACACUUUAUAAUCUUAGAUUCAACCCUACUUGGUAAAACAAUUAAGAUUAAUCAGCAUGCUGAACAUGUUUCUUUUGAAACUAAUUCGUAACAUAUUCAGGGAAUCAACAAGCUGAAUGAACAAUGUGUUUAUGAAUAAAAUGCUAUUUACUCUACAAACUAAUUUAAUUAACUAGGUAUGAUUUCAAACGAACUAACAAAAUGAUUUUAAGACAUCAAAAUUUACUAAUUCAAACAACUAGAAGAGCAAUAAUAUUCAUAGGCCAAUUAGGAAUUGAUUUCUAAACAGGACUCAGAAAUUAUCCUCUAAAUCAAAGCUGACUCAACUUUUAAAAGGGGAAGAAUGGGAAAAGAUAGAAGAUAGGGAAAAGAGAAAAGAAAGAAAAGAAAAACCUAACAUGCUGUUAAAAACAAGAACAAUCAAGUAUGCAGAGAUCAAAAUUAAAUAAGAAAAAAUAAAAAGGGAAAGUGACUAAGAGACUGAAAUAAAACUGGUUCCAAACAUAAAUCUAAGACGAGUAUGAACUUUUAAUCAUGCUUUAAUUAAUAGGAACUUCAGAAAUUAAUCAACUAAACACAAGAAGGCAAACAAAAGAAUAAAAACCUAACAUGAUAUUAAAAAUAAAGGGAAAUCAAACAUGUAUAGAAGGGACAAAGUCAGACGAAAUUAAACAAUGGAAAAAAAAGAAAAGAGCUUACCAGAUCGAAAUCAAAGCUGGAUCCAACUAUGAACUAGUCCAAUCUUUCUGAUAUGUGAUAUGGACUUUAGACAAACAUUAAUAGACUAUUAUUAACAAGAAUAGUCGAUUAUUGAAGGUUUUAACUUCAUUCGACCAGAUACAACCUCCAAAAUUCAGAGAAGAAAAUUAGGGGUUUCUGGGGUCCUGAGAUUUGAGAUUCGAGAAUCUCAGGGCAUUCGUAAAGGGGUGAUAGUUGUUUGGGAUUCAAAUAGGGAAAAAGGUCAUAGGGUGUAUGUUUGAAGUGAUUUGUAGCGGUUAAAGUUUUUGGCCGAACUUUCGAUUUGAGAUUCGAACGGACCAGGAUCAAUUUCAAGGAAGUGGAAGGAAUAUUUGGAAUGGGGAGGGGGGUGCAUGGGAGUUCGUGGUGUAAAAAUGGGGUCGAUUCGACCAUCGAAAUUGCCGUAAGGCGAUUUCCGGUGGUUGUUCGCAGCGGAGGCGGCGUGGAAAAUGAGGUGGCUAGGGUUAUACAGGUGUGGGUGAGAGAUAGGAGAACUGAGUUGAAUUUUUGGUUUUGGGGGGUGGGUUGACCUAUUU